This 327-nucleotide ribosomal RNA is filed under the name uncultured eukaryote. Its description in RNAcentral is "partial 18S ribosomal RNA". It matches the Rfam family "Eukaryotic small subunit ribosomal RNA", at positions 1470 to 1796 of the family's 1831-position model. The record is from RNAcentral.
CCCUUAGACGUUCUGGGCCGCACGCGCGCUACACUGAUGAAUGCAACGAGCUCUACCCUUGACCGAAAGGCCCGGGUAAACUUGUGAAACUUCAUCGUGAUGGGGAUAGAUUAUUGCAAUUAUUAAUCUUCAACGAGGAAUUCCUAGUAAGCGCGAGUCAUCAGCUCGCGUUGAUUACGUCCCUGCCCUUUGUACACACCGCCCGUCGCUCCUACCGAUUGAAUGGUCCGGUGAAAUCUUCGGAUUGCUGACCAAGAUCCAGCAAUGGAGCUUGGUUGCGAGAAGUUGAUUAAACCUUAUUAUUUAGAGGAAGGAGAAGUCGUAACA